UAACUAUUUAUUAUUAUCUUCGCAAAAUAACGGACUUCACUGUUAAUGUGACAGAGGGAAUACUUGACUCAAACUUUAGUUAUAAUAAAAAUAUGUACAGAUUUAAUUUUCUUGCAUAUAUAUUAGAAUUUUACUAGCACUAGUAUUUAAAAAUAUCACACGCACACAUAAAAGUGCUUCAAUAAUUAACAAAUAAAAAACUCAACAGAGUAUUCAAUCAUGGCGGCAACGAACUCAAUUUUACCGCGAAUUCGCUCGGCAAAUCGGGCAUGAAGAGCACGAAUUCAGCCACCGCUCUAUGCACUGCAUAUGGAAGCCAUGGCUGCACUUCUCCAGAACCCUAAUUCUCUCCCCAAUUUCGAACUCCGACAAGCAAAUCGCGCACUCCUCCGCCGCCGCGAGCUGCAUCCCCUCCGAGUAAAUCAAAGACGGAACCUCGAUCACCUUUUCCGUAUCCGCGCUGACGGUCUCCGGCGACUGGAUUCGGCGAUACCGCUUGCACAUGUGUUUGAUGGCGAAGUUGAUCGCCAGACCGCAGAUUAGGGUGCAGAAGAGGAAGCCGACGACUAAGGCCGUGUUUGCCUUGAAAUCUCCGGAAUUGGAGUACGGCUGCCAUUGGCAAUUCUGGACACCGCAUUUAGUUGGCGGCGGUGGCGAUUGGUGGAUGCGGAAUUCUGCCGUCGCCGUCGCCGCGGCUACCGGCGGCUGAGAUGGUAACGAUCUAAUCUUCUCUCUCGAUUUGGUUUCUGAGUUGGCUCUUCUAGCUGAACUGCUAUUCACUCUCUUUUUCGUCUACUAUGUUGUUUUAUGCGAAUGAAUUAUCUGAAUUUUGGGGAAUUGAGUGUUUGUGAAAUUUGUGAUGAAUAAUUAUAUUAGAGAUGCUGUUUUGUUUUACUUACAAAUUUUCACGCAUUAUCCUCUUAUCACGAAGAAAAUGAUUGAUUUGAUCCUUUAAUGCCACGUUUCGUAUUUAAUUUAUCUUGAAAGAGAGAAUUCUGCAGAUACUGUUCUUCUCUAUAAUAUGUUUAGUUUAUCUAAAGAAUAUGAAGAUAAUCAAUCAAUCAUUGCUUGAAAUAAGAAGUGUACUAACUCACAAGAUUUUUAACACUAUAAAUCUCUAUACUUGUUUUAGGUGAUUUUUUCUAGUUUUACAAAUAAUUUGAACACCAAGUAGAGGGGCCAAUAAUCUUUUCAGCUAAUCAAUAUUUAGUGGGGUUCUUAUCUUCAUAAUUUCAAAAAGAGUCAUCAUCAUGUUUAGGAAAAUUCUCUGACCCCUACUUUAACGUAAAAGAAACACCAUUUAUAACAGACCGAUCCUCCUCAUCUUCCUCCCAAUGAUGAUUGCAGUGAUUGGUAGAGGAGACCAUUCGAUAGAGAAAAGUUGAUUGAUUUUAUUUCAUUGAUUUAUAACUGGAUGGCUUAUUAUUUUAAUCGAAGGGGUUGAUUGAUAUGUAUGCUAACCAAUGUUCAACCUAAAUUGCAUUCAAGCACCCUGAAAAAUCCCAGAAAUCAUUGCUAUACACAAAUUUUUCAAUGAAAGAAUUUUUCUUUGGCUUUAUUAGUGCCUAUGUGUAUAUCUUGAUUUAAUUUUAAGUGUUAGCUACUUCAUGAUAGGGCUGUAUGUCGAUAAAGUGAAUAGUUUCGUGUUGGAUAAAGGAUAGCACAUUGAAGUUCAAUAUUGGACUGUAUCAUAACCCGAAAUAAUAAACGAAUAAAACAAAGAACUUACUUGCAUAAAAUUCAAGUCUUUAAUAAUCUCAUCAAUUUUUGUACACCUUAUGGAACUCAGAAAUAUAAAAUCACUGCUGUUUUGGGUAGUUUGUCACUCUUGAGUCUUGUCACCCUUGCUAAGCUAAGCGAUUGGACAACUUUCACAUUAUCAAUAAUAAAGUGGCCACAUAUAUGACCAAAAACAUCAUCUUACUAUCCUAGUAUGAUAAAAUGGAUUCCAAAAUCAAACUGAACAUUCACACUUUUCUUGCCUGAGAAAGCUUCCAUUGUCAUCAUCCCGUGGCAUCUGUUCUUAGCAUCUCUAACUGUGAAAGUUUGAGUAACUUAAUGAUCCAUCCAGGAUCAAUGAGCACAGUCCUAGUGCAUGGGGAGGACGAGGAUUCCGGUGGAGCAGUUCUUGAAGAUGUGAGGGGCUGUCUCGAAGCCUCUAUUCUUAGUUCUUGACCGCAUAAGCUCAGAGUAGCUAUCGAUAUAGACUUGCAAAACGAGCUUUGAAGCCUAACCAGCCUGUCCUUUAUAGGAGUGGAUUCGAGGAGAGAACCACAGGUUGGGUCUUCUUGUAUCCUGGGGUUGUGGAAUGUGACCUUCACAAUGCUGAUUCUUGAUGGAAGGCUGAGCACUAGAUCAUUUGCUUGUAGGAAAGAAAUGCUUGCAGACUUGAAAGCAGCUCUGCCCUGCCCAGAUAGCAUGCCUGCGAAACGGCCUACGAUGAAGAAUGUUGUCGAGAUGCUUCAAGAGAUCGAGCAAGAUUAGAGCUCAUUCUCAACCAGAGAAGAGGGCUUUCUCUCUUUGAUAUCAAGAACAGUGUGCAAGAACAAUCCCCUUUCACAGAUUGAUGGAUUUUAGGGAUUGGCAUCAAGAACUUUAAUUGAAUUGGAUGUGAUGUUUUAUAGCUAGAUGGGGAGGGGGUUAUUAGGAAGAUACAAAUGCAGCAUAGUGUAUUCCAGAAUUUACCAUUGUUGUGUAUUUUCAUAUAUCAUUUUUAUGAAAAAUGUUGGAUGCA
This is a long non-coding RNA of Salvia splendens (bonfire salvia), 2734 nucleotides long. RefSeq lists it as uncharacterized. The transcript is spliced from 2 exons. The record is from RefSeq and is a predicted model, not a curated record. Lineage: Eukaryota; Viridiplantae; Streptophyta; Magnoliopsida; Lamiales; Lamiaceae.